ACCUGACUGCUAUCGGAUUGAUACUAAGCCAUGCGAGUCAUUGUAGCAAUACAAGGCAUACGGCUCAGUAACGCGUAGUCAACCUAACCUAUGGACGGGAAUAACCUCGGGAAACUGAGAAUAAUGCCCGAUAGAACAUUAUACCUGGAAUGGUUUGUGUUCCAAAUGAUUUAUCGCCAUAGGAUGGGACUGCGGCCUAUCAGUUUGUUGGUGAGGUAAUGGCCCACCAAGACUAUUACAGGUACGGGCUCUGAGAGGAGUAGCCCGGAGAUGGGUACUGAGACACGGACCCAGGCCCUAUGGGGCGCAGCAGGCGAGAAAACUUUGCAAUGUGCGAAAGCACGACAAGGUUAAUCCGAGUGGUUCCUGCUAAAGGAACCUUUUGUUAGUCCUAGAAACACUAACGAAUAAGGGGUGGGCAAGUUCUGGUGUCAGCCGCCGCGGUAAAACCAGCACCUCAAGUGGUCAGGAUGAUUAUUGGGCCUAAAGCAUCCGUAGCCGGCUCUGUAAGUUUUCGGUUAAAUCUGUACGCUUAACGUACAGGCUGCCGGGAAUACUGCAAAGCUAGGGAGUGGGAGAAGUAGACGGUACUCGGUAGGAAGUGGUAAAAUGCUUUGAUCUAUCGAUGAUCACCUGUGGCGAAGGCGGUCUACUAGAACACGUCCGACGGUGAGGGAUGAAAGCUGGGGGAGCAAACCGGAUUAGAUACCCGGGUAGUCCCAGCUGUAAACUAUGCAAACUCAGUGAUGCAUUGGCUUGUGGCCAAUGCAGUGCUGCAGGGAAGCCGUUAAGUUUGCCGCCUGGGAAGUACGUACGCAAGUAUGAAACUUAAAGGAAUUGGCGGGGGAGCACCACAAGGGGUGAAGCCUGCGGUUC
This 876-nucleotide ribosomal RNA is filed under the name uncultured crenarchaeote. Its description in RNAcentral is "bacterial SSU rRNA". It matches the Rfam family "Archaeal small subunit ribosomal RNA", at positions 21 to 903 of the family's 1478-position model. The record is from RNAcentral. Lineage: Archaea; Thermoproteati; Thermoproteota.